This 1297-nucleotide ribosomal RNA is filed under the name uncultured marine bacterium. Its description in RNAcentral is "bacterial SSU rRNA". It matches the Rfam family "Bacterial small subunit ribosomal RNA", at positions 26 to 1369 of the family's 1533-position model. The record is from RNAcentral.
AGGAUGAACGCUGGCGGUAUGCUUAACACAUGCAAGUCGAACGAAAGCUUUAUGCUUUAGUGGCGAACGGGUGCGUAAUACGUGAGAAUCUGCCCUUAGGAGGAGAAUAACUUCUGGAAACGGUUGCUAAGUCUCUAUAUGCCGAGAGGUAAAAUAGUUUACACUGCCUAGGGAUGAGCUCACGCCUGAUUAGCUUGUUGGUAAGGUAAUGGCUUACCAAGGCCACGAUCAGUAGCUGGUUUGAGAGAACGAUCAGCCACACUGGGACUGAGACACGGCCCAGACUCCUCCGGGAGGCAGCAGUGAGGAAUUUUCCGCAAUGGGCGAAAGCCUGACGGAGCAAUACCGCGUGAGGGAUGAAGGAUUUUGGUCUGUAAACCUCUUUUCUCAAGAAAGAAGUUCUGACGGUACUUGAGGAAUAAGCAUCGGCUAACUCCGUGCCAGCAGCCGCGGUAAUACGGGGGAUGCAAGCGUUAUCCGGAUUUAUUGGGCGUAAAGCGCCUGUAGGUUGUUUAAUAAGUCUGUUGUUAAAGACUAGGGCUUAACCCUAGGAAAAGCAAUGGAAACUACUAGACUUGAGUAUGAUAGGGGUAGAGGGAAUUUCUAGUGUAGCGGUGAAAUGCGUAGAUAUUAGAAAGAACACCGGCGGCGAARGCGCUCUACUGGAUCAUUACUGACACUCAGAGGCGAAAGCUARGGUAGCAAAAGGGAUUAGAUACYCCUGUAGUCCUAGCCGUAAACGAUGGAUACUACAUGUUGCGUUUUUAAUGCAGUAUGGUAGCUAACGCGUUAAGUAUCCCGCCUGGGGAGUACGGUCGCAAGGCUGAAACUCAAAGGAAUUGACGGGGGCCCGCACAAGCGGUGGAGCAUGUGGUUUAAUUCGAUGCAACGCGAAGAACCUUACCAAGGCUUGACAUACUACAGAUUUCUUUGAAAGAGGAAAGUGCCUUCGGGAAUGUAGAUACAGGUGGUGCAUGGCUGUCGUCAGCUCGUGUCGUGAGAUGUUGGGUUAAGUCCCGCAACGAGCGCAACCCUUAUUUUUAGUUGCUAAUUUAUUUUAGGUUUUCUAGAAAGACUGCCGGUGACAAACCGGAGGAAGGUGAGGAUGACGUCAAGUCAGCAUGCCCCUUAUGCCUUGGGCUACACACGUGCUACAAUGGUUAAGACAAAGAGUUGCGAGCUCGUGAGAGUCAGCUAAUCUCAUAAACUUAGCCUAAGUUCGGAUUGUAGGCUGCAACUCGCCUGCAUGAAGUCGGAAUCGCUAGUAAUCGCUGGUCAGCCAUACAGCGGUGAAUCC